UACAGAGGGUGCGAGCGUUAAUCGGAAUUACUGGGCGUAAAGCGCACGUAGGUGGCGACGUAAGUCGGGUGUGAAAGCCCCGGGCUCAACCUGGGAAUUGCAUUCGAGACUGCAUUGCUGGAGUACGGAAGAGGAAGGCGGAAUUCCCGGUGUAGCGGUGAAAUGCGUAGAUAUCGGGAGGAACAUCAGUGGCGAAGGCGGCCUUCUGGGUCAGUACUGACACUCAAGUGCGAAAGCGUGGGGAGCAAACAGG
Molecule: ribosomal RNA, 253 nt
Filed under: uncultured bacterium
Lineage: Bacteria
Description: partial 16S ribosomal RNA
Rfam family: Bacterial small subunit ribosomal RNA
Source: RNAcentral